GAUGAAGAACGUAGCGAAAUGCGAUAAGUAAUGUGAAUUGCAGAAUUCAGUGAAUCAUCGAAUCUUUGAACGCACAUUGCGCCCCCUGGUAUUCCGGGGGGCAUGCCUGUUCGAGCGUCAUUUCACCACUCAAGCCUCGCUUGGUAUUGGGCAUCGCGGUCCGCCGCGUGCCUCAAAUCGACCGGCUGGGUCUUCUGUCCCCUAAGCGUUGUGGAAACUAUUCGCUAAAGGGUGUUCGGGAGGCUACGCCGUAAAACAACCCCAUUUCUAAGGUUGACCUCGGAUCAGGUAGGGAUACCCGCUGAACUUAAGCAUAUCAUAAGCGGAGGA
RNAcentral lists this unclassified non-coding RNA (330 nucleotides) under soil metagenome. RNAcentral describes it as "partial contains 5.8S ribosomal RNA, internal transcribed spacer 2, and large subunit ribosomal RNA". The stretch from base 1 to 120 matches the Rfam family "5.8S ribosomal RNA", at positions 35 to 154 of the family's 154-position model. The record is from RNAcentral.